Molecule: long non-coding RNA, 3150 nt
Organism: Cavia porcellus (domestic guinea pig)
Lineage: Eukaryota; Metazoa; Chordata; Mammalia; Rodentia; Caviidae
Exons: 4
Source: RefSeq, a predicted model, not a curated record
UUCUUCUGGUUUUUCAAUGCCUUGAAGCCAGAAACUAGUUCAUCUGCAUGUUUUUCCUAGGUGUAUUUGAUGCUUGCUAACAAUUUCUAGGUAAGUGAAUUAUAUUAAUUACCUAGAUAAUUACAGUUACAAUGGCCUCUAUCUCUGAAUAGACCUACGGUCUGAAUUUUGUGGUAGUUAUAAAUUUGCAUUUCUGUAAUCUACACAAUUCCAUUAUUAUUUUCUAAAACACAUUUUGUGAAUUAAAGAGUAAGCAAAAUGCAUUCCUUUCUUCCAAACUAUUACAGGUUGCCUAAUGCAAUCACUAAUGCAGGAUUAGUGAUAUAGGCAUCUCCUACACAUUUUAAUUUAGAUUUCAUCAAAAAAGUGCUUGUUUAUUACAGAAAUUAUUUUUAAACUUCCAAUUGAGUUAAUUUUAAUUUCGACUCAGUUAUUCAAGUAAGCUUAUAUGGAUCCAGAGACAUUAUUUUAAAAUAGCGUACUAUAAUCACUUCUAAAUUAUUUUUUAUUCUUUUGACAAAGAGUAUUGAUAAGUCAGCAAGUCAAUAUCAGUUAUUUCAAAAUACAAUUUCCAAGAAGGCGUGGAAGUUACCUUUGGAUCAUCAAAAUCUUUGGUAAAAAAUAAGGGGAAAAAAACCCUUUUUUGAUCUCUAUUAGAUCUGUGUAUCUACAUUUUGAGGAAGUUAUCUGGAAUGAGUUUCUACGUGUGGGUGCUGACUUACACCUAAGCCUAGUAACUUUGUUACUUCUGUAUGUACUUGUUCUAUCUUCUCAAUGUGGCCUAAUUAGCCUGAAAAUCUGUACCUUGUUUCCUCUAACCUCCAGGAGAUUGUUUAUGAUUCCCUACCUGUCAUAUGAUGUCUGUAUGUUAGUCUUAUAUAUUGACCCUAGGGCUAUUUUUGUUCACAGGACUUGCCCAACACCUAGUUUUGGCUUCUCUGAUUUGGUUUGACCCAAGCCCCACAUAGCAUCCUAUGCUAGCUUGACGAGCUGGUCAUUUGGCUGUUUUCCCCCAGAUCCAUUCAAGUUUUGCCCUUCCCAUUCUGGUCUGUACAGUACUGAUGAUUCCUGGCAACUCUAUUUCCUAGGCUCAUUUAUCUAUACCCAAAGGGAAUUAGGAAAGAUUAAAAAAUUGAAGUAAAAGCAUUCGAAGAAUAAGAGAAGAGCUGGGUAUGGUGGCCACCCCUGUAAUCCUAGCACUCCAGUCGCUGAGGUAAGAAGAUCGCUGUCUGGGGAGAUCAAGGCUAGCCUGGACUAUGGUGAGGCCAUUUCUCAAAAAAUUAAAAAAAAAAAAAAUAAGAGAAGAAACCAUAUUUUCUCAAACUGCACCCUGCUUUGAUUCAAGCAACUUUUCCACAAUAACUUCUCUGCAAUUGAAGCUCUAGAGCUCUGUUAAACCAGCUCUCCACUGUUGUUGCCUUCAGCCUAUAUAUAUAUAUAUAUAUAUAUAUAUAUAUAUAUGGUAGAAACUUCCUACUACUGAAGUAUCCUUCCUUCCUUUUGAUUUUUCAGUCCUUCACAUACCUUUGUAAAUUGUUCUUGAUGUUAAAUGCUUUCAACUGAACCCCCAAAGAAAGUUCUGAUAUUUCCUAGAAGUUCAUCUCACAGCAAUGCAUGGCAAGUUAUUAGGUAAAGAGCAAAAUAAUUGUCAUAAUUACUGAAGACUUUGUAGAGGUUUUCAAGCCUCAUAUCUCAAAAUGUUCAUUGCAGGUAUAAAAUAUUUGACAAAAAUUUCAUUGAAAAUAAUUCAAAGAGGAUAGUGUCAUUUAUAGCUUCUUUAAAGCCACUUCUGUUUAGUUCUUAUUUUCAUUCUUUAGCAACCUCAUGUCAAUAGGGACACCAUGGGGAAUUGAAUAGAAUGUAUGAAAAUGAUGCCCACGCAGAUUCCAAAAUAGUUCCAACUGGAUUUUCCUGCACAAAGCAAAGAAAGAUGUAAUCAUCAUCAGAGUAGAUUGAACCCAGAACCUUCACCCAUGCUGAGCACAUGAUGUACCAUGGAGCUACACCCACGGCCCUCUCCUUUUACUUUAUUCGUGUAUACAUGCAGGCAAUAAAGACAAGAUAACAAGUCACCUAAAUACUGAGAAUGAGAGGAGGAAUCAGAGUAACAGAACAUGGGAAGAAUUGGUAUCUUAGCUUCAACAGAAAACCCGUGAAAAUUAUUCCCCUGUGGGAGAUAAUAAAAGAGAGCCCUGUGCAUGUGUCAUGAUAGCCAUUAAUGCUUUGCAUAAGGGAGAGAACAAAGCAGCUAGAACUGCUUGAGAAGAAAGAAGGUACUGAUCUCCUUGUGGUUGGUGUAGUCCAGUUUCUACACAGCUGCACUGAGUAUACAGCUUGGCCAAAUGCUGCAUUGCAUGCUGGAGAAAAAUGAAUAACAGACUACAAUAAGCCCAGUGGGAAAAGAUGAACGAGACAGACACUGUGUUAGUGGUUGAUGCUAAAAAAAUAACCACACAGAUGAAAAGUACUUGCAAUCAUAAAAUGGAGGUGGUCAACUGUAGCUAAGGAGUAAGAGAAGCCUUCUCAUGGGAAAUACCGGUACUAAUCAUCAUCUUCAUAUUGAUUCUCACCAGCAAUUAUGUGAAGAUGAAAAAAUUAUAGAGUUUAUUGACAUUUUCAGUUUGCCCUAUGUAUAUGGCAAAAGUAUGUAUAUACAGAUAUGCACAUGUAUAUAUAUAUGUGUGUGAAAACUUGUACAUGUGUAUGCAUGUAUACAUGUAUAAAUAUAUACAAACAUAUAUAAGAAAUCCCGUGUUUUCUUUUGUGACUCUUGCUCCUGAUUCCCUAGCAUGAGUUCAAGUGCUUAAAUACUUAAAGUUUUUCUUAUAUAUUAUAUCAUAAAUGAUGAUUUCUUUAGCAUAAGCUGAAACUUGAAUCAGUAAGCAUUAUACAAUUAGGUAUUAUAUAACAACAUUUCAGUCAAUGUUGAACUGUAUGUCAGUGGCAUAUGGACAUACUAUUAUGAUGCUUGCCCAGUGACAAAAUUGCCUAAUGACAAUGUAUCACCAUGGUUAAGUGACAUACAUAGUCAUAUAUAUGAGUAAACCAGGUUCUGCUUAUCUUCAUUUCAUAUAUGCGUAUAUCUAUCUAUCUAUAUAUAUAUAUGACUUUUUAUCUUUUUAUUAAAUUCAGUACUACCUGCUUUUAUAA